AGAGUUUGAUCAUGGCUCAGAUUGAACGCUGGCGGCAUGCCUAACACAUGCAAGUCGAACGGCAGCACAGGUAGCAAUACCGGGUGGCGAGUGGCGGACGGGUGAGUAAUGCAUCGGGAUCUACCCUGACGUGGGGGAUAACCUCGGGAAACCGGGACUAAUACCGCAUACGUCCUACGGGAGAAAGCGGGGGACCUUCGGGCCUCGCGCGGCAGGACGAACCGAUGUGCGAUUAGCUAGUUGGCGGGGUAAUGGCCCACCAAGGCGACGAUCGCUAGCUGGUCUGAGAGGAUGAUCAGCCACACUGGGACUGAGACACGGCCCAGACUCCUACGGGAGGCAGCAGUGGGGAAUAUUGGACAAUGGGCGCAAGCCUGAUCCAGCAAUGCCGCGUGUGUGAAGAAGGCCUUCGGGUUGUAAAGCACUUUUAUCAGGAGCGAAAUACUACCGGCCAAUACCCGGUGGGGCUGACGGUACCUGAGGAAUAAGCACCGGCUAACUUCGUGCCAGCAGCCGCGGUAAUACGAAGGGUGCAAGCGUUAAUCGGAAUUACUGGGCGUAAAGGGUGCGUAGGCGGUUCGUUAAGUCUGUUGUGAAAUCCCCGGGCUCAACCUGAGAAUGGCAAUGGAUACUGGCGGGCUAGAGUGUGUCAGAGGAUGGUGGAAUUCCCGGUGUAGCGGUGAAAUGCGUAGAGAUCGGGAGGAACAUCAGUGGCGAAGGCGGCCAUCUGGGACAACACUGACGCUGAAGCACGAAAGCGUGGGGAGCAAACAGGAUUAGAUACCCUGAUAGUCCACGCCCUAAACGAUGCGAACUGGAUGUUGGUCUCAACUCGGAGAUCAGUGUCGAAGCAAACGCGUUAAGUUCGCCGCCUGGGGAGUACGGUCGCAAGACUGAAACUCAAAGGAAUUGACGG
Molecule: ribosomal RNA, 916 nt
Filed under: methanogenic prokaryote enrichment culture B31_3_94
Description: bacterial SSU rRNA
Rfam family: Bacterial small subunit ribosomal RNA
Source: RNAcentral